RNAcentral lists this long non-coding RNA (642 nucleotides) under Oryctolagus cuniculus (rabbit). RNAcentral describes it as "lncRNA (ENSOCUG00000035443.1)". The record is from RNAcentral. Lineage: Eukaryota; Metazoa; Chordata; Mammalia; Lagomorpha; Leporidae.
GGGGGGCGGGGAAAAGGGAGGAGGGCCAGAAGAUGGUUGUGUUGGAUGUGAAUGGGGCGGGUGGGCGCCAGGGGCAAUUAUGACCGCAGGCUGGUUUAGGGGUUGGGUAAGGUCAGGUGUCCUCUGGGGUUGGGAGGAGGAAGGUCGGCUGGUGGCCCAGCUGCGGGGUUCUGGUGGGUCCAGGCCGAUGGAGUGGCUCACCUGUGUAGGCCAGGACGCAGGAAAGAAAAACCCCAACUUUGGUAACAGGAUUCCAGUGAGGAAUUCUGGUUGUUCUGAUGCUUUGCAUGAAACACUUUGAACUUUCAGAAAAGAGCUUUAGAUUUGUUGGCAGGACCAGCCAAGAGCUCCAGAAAAGGACGUCUGUCCAGUGCAGGAGCCCUAGAGCACAGCUGUGUCACAGAGGCUUGAGAAGAGGUGCAGACUGAGCCCAGGCACAGGAGGAAGAGUGCGAGCACACGUGCGUCUUGGAAGCUCUGGCUGACUUCGAGAAGGACCGAUUACCAUUUUCCAGCACACAGAAUGCUUUCUUAUUUGUGUCUGAUUUCUGUUUCUUCCCUUCUGCUCUGGCUCUUGCCAGAUAUUUAAUAAUGUGAUUUUCUAUUUAAUCACAUUUUCUCACUCUACAGAGCACUUCCGUGG